This 500-nucleotide ribosomal RNA is filed under the name uncultured bacterium. Its description in RNAcentral is "partial 16S ribosomal RNA". It matches the Rfam family "Bacterial small subunit ribosomal RNA", at positions 29 to 523 of the family's 1533-position model. The record is from RNAcentral.
AUUGAACGCUGGCGGCAUGCCUUACACAUGCAAGUCGAACGGCAGCACGGGGGCAACCCUGGUGGCGAGUGGCGAACGGGUGAGUAAUACAUCGGAACGUGUCCUGUAGUGGGGGAUAGCCCGGCGAAAGCCGGAUUAAUACCGCAUACGACCUGAGGGAGAAAGCGGGGGAUCUUCGGACCUCGCGCUAUAGGGGCGGCCGAUGGCAGAUUAGCUAGUUGGUGGGGUAAAGGCCUACCAAGGCGACGAUCUGUAGCUGGUCUGAGAGGACGACCAGCCACACUGGGACUGAGACACGGCCCAGACUCCGACGGGAGGCAGCAGUGGGGAAUGUUGGACAAUGGGGGCAACCCUGAUCCAGCAAUGCCGCGUGUGUGAAGAAGGCCUUCGGGUUGUAAAGCACUUUUGUCCGGAAAGAAAACUUCGUCCCUAAUAUGGAUGGAGGAUGACGGUACCGGAAGAAUAAGCACCGGCUAACUACGUGCCAGCCGCCGCAGUAA